ACAUCACAUAUCUUCAUAUAUAUAUGUAUACACACACGGUAUAUACACACAUAUGUGAGUGCAUACGUUGUACAUGUGAUAUUUAUAUUUAU
RNAcentral lists this microRNA precursor (92 nucleotides) under Mustela putorius furo (domestic ferret). Its description in RNAcentral is "miRNA (ENSMPUG00000022579.1)". The record is from RNAcentral. Lineage: Eukaryota; Metazoa; Chordata; Mammalia; Carnivora; Mustelidae.